UCAAACUUGGUCAUUUAGAGGAAGUAAAAGUCGUAACAAGGUCAUCGUAGGUGAACCUGCGGUGGGAUCAUCAAAAGAACCAAACCUUUCCUGCGGACUCUUUACGAGUCUGCACCUUUUGUGAACUCCACAGGAUGAGGAGGCUUGCCUCUGAUUCUUGUACCUGGUGUUGCUGCCAGUUUAGUGCUGGCAGCAAUUCUAUAUCAAACACAACAUCAUUUACCAAGUUUAAUGCUGAAACCUGACGAGUGAAAACUUGUCUAAUAGUUAUACAACUAUCAAUGGUGGAUCACUUGGCUCUUGCAUCGAUGAAGAACGCAGC
This 322-nucleotide unclassified non-coding RNA is filed under the name uncultured fungus. RNAcentral's name for it is "partial contains small subunit ribosomal RNA, internal transcribed spacer 1, and 5.8S ribosomal RNA". The stretch from base 1 to 73 matches the Rfam family "Eukaryotic small subunit ribosomal RNA", at positions 1759 to 1831 of the family's 1831-position model. Lineage: Eukaryota; Fungi. The record is from RNAcentral.